RNAcentral lists this ribosomal RNA (496 nucleotides) under uncultured bacterium. RNAcentral's name for it is "partial 16S ribosomal RNA". It matches the Rfam family "Bacterial small subunit ribosomal RNA", at positions 29 to 507 of the family's 1533-position model. The record is from RNAcentral.
AUGAACGCUGGCGGCGUGCCUAAUACAUGCAAGUCGAGCGAACGGACGAGAAUCUUGCUUCUCUGAUGUUAGCGGCGGACGGGUGAGUAACACGUGGCUAACCUACCUAUAAGACUGGGAUAACUUCGGGAAACCGGAGCUAAUACCGGAUAAUAUUUUGAACCGCAUGGUUCCAAAGUGAAAGACGGUCUUGCUGUCACUUAUAGAUGGAUCCGCGCUGCAUUAGCUAGUUGGUAAGGUAACGGCUUACCAAGGCAACGAUGCAUAGCCGACCUGAGAGGGUGAUCGGCCACACUGGAACUGAGACACGGUCCAGACUCCUACGGGAGGCAGCAGUAGGGAAUCUUCCGCAAUGGGCGAAAGCCUGACGGAGCAACGCCGCGUGAGUGAUGAAGGUCUUCGGAUCGUAAAACUCUGUUAUUAGGGAAGAACAUAUGUGUAAGUAACUGUGCACAUCUUGACGGUACCUAAUCAGAAAGCCACGGCUAACUACGUG